RNAcentral lists this long non-coding RNA (881 nucleotides) under Numida meleagris (helmeted guineafowl). RNAcentral describes it as "lncRNA (ENSNMEG00000011560.1)". The record is from RNAcentral. Lineage: Eukaryota; Metazoa; Chordata; Aves; Galliformes; Numididae.
CUCACCAUUAACGCCAUGUGUGAGGAAAAACAGCUGUCAUGCUAUUUAGUGAAUAACUGAGUUGUAUAGUACUUGUCUGUGGGGAGAGACUGGAGUCAAUACCAGAAGGCUAUAUGGAGGAAAUCGGGGGAAGACAAACUGCAGGCAAGUAAGCCUGAACUCACAGAAUGCCAUUACUGUGCUGAGAUGCCGCUGUGCUGAAGGGGACUACAAUUUAUGUUAAUAUAAAAAAAACCACAGAGGUUUGUUUCUUCAGUUUGAAUGAUAACACUGCAUUUCAAUGUACAGUUUGAGUCACUGAACACACCCAGGACAAUAGAGCAUGACCACCCUGCAUCUCCAGGCACUUUCUCUUCUUCUCGUUGGCUCCACCUGAAAUUUCCCUUGCAUACCCAGCAAACUGAUUGGCUCCUCUGCAGUCUUCACAUGCAGCUGCCCAAGAGCUGCCCUUGUUUCAGGCUGGGUUGUAGACUGGCAUGAUUUCAAAGUGUGUGUGCAGCUCCCUGGAAAACAGGUAGUCGCAAGUGCACUGCUGGUCCUUGACCUGGAGCUGCUGAGAGUGAUGUCCUUCAUCAACACUCUGGUCACAGUCAGUCAAGAUGCCACUGGAAAAGGGUCGAUUGCUCCCUCUGGUACCAUCACACACUUUGAGCAUUUUCAGUUCCUCUAACCACUGGGUCAUCCUUUGGAAAGGAGACAUGAUGUUCGAGGAAACUAGUCUUCUGGUGCUGUCACAGAGCUCGCACAACAUUGCAAUCAUCUAUCUGAUACUUUCCUCUAUGCCUACGAAGAAUUCUGUUACAUCCACGUAUCCAUUGGGAAUGAACUUUACUGUCACCUGGAAUUUCAGACUUGACAUACAACCUUCCAGCUCUCAGUGA